UACGUAAGGUGCGAGCGUUGUCCGGAAUUACUGGGCGUAAAGAGCUCGUAGGCGGUUUGUCGCGUCGUCUGUGAAAACCAGCAGCUCAACUGCUGGCUUGCAGGCGAUACGGGCAGACUUGAGUACUGCAGGGGAGACUGGAAUUCCUGGUGUAGCGGUGAAAUGCGCAGAUAUCAGGAGGAACACCGGUGGCGAAGGCGGGUCUCUGGGCAGUAACUGACGCUGAGGAGCGAAAGCGUGGGUAGCGAACAGG
This 253-nucleotide ribosomal RNA is filed under the name uncultured bacterium. Its description in RNAcentral is "partial 16S ribosomal RNA". It matches the Rfam family "Bacterial small subunit ribosomal RNA", at positions 524 to 776 of the family's 1533-position model. The record is from RNAcentral.